This 1155-nucleotide ribosomal RNA is filed under the name Triticum aestivum (bread wheat). RNAcentral's name for it is "partial small subunit ribosomal RNA". Lineage: Eukaryota; Viridiplantae; Streptophyta; Magnoliopsida; Poales; Poaceae. The record is from RNAcentral.
GCGCGGCGGCCAAGGGGCUACCGCCUCCUGAGUCCGCGGUAGGAGGCGGUGUAGAGGAGGGAGUUCCUGUACGAACUGUUCCAGUUACUUCUCUAACUUGUCUUAUAUGUUUCCUGGUCCCUUUGUCUCAGUCUUUAUCACUUCGUAAGACUUUGACUUUUCCUGAUAGAGCACUUCCUCAGACUCGAUUACUUUCCUCAUAGCCAACGACUCAAACUUGAACUACCCGAAUACGUUCACCUUCGACGACCUUGUCUAAGUGAAUUUCGCUACCUCCUGUUAAACCUUAAGGUCUUUCGAUGAGACUUACGUUAAUCCUUUGAUAAGAUACUAUUUUACCUUUCCAAGUAGCGACUUAGAUUUCCGAAGGUUCAAUUAUACGAACCUCCAAGUUAACUCCUAAAUGGAGAGGAUGAUUUCCUUUCUCUAAGUGAUCUCUUACUCUCACUCUUGAACUCUUACUUCUAGUUGCGGUAUGUUUCAAGUAGUUUCCUUAUGUAACGACUCUAAGAACUCCUCCAUUUACACCUUUUAAGUCAAGACCUCAGACUACAUGUGAUAUCCUAAAGCCUUAUGUACCUUUAAGAGUUCCUAUAUUUGUUGGACUUCUAAGAUAAAUCAAGCUCGUUAAGAAUUCUUCCCAGAAGUAACAACGUCCGAGUACUGGGUAGUUUCAACGGUGUACAAAGAACACAGAAGUCAUACGGUAAAACCAAACCGACAGUUCUUAGAAGUCGUUCGAGUUACCUUUAUGGAACAUGUACAAAGAAGACAGCUCUUCCAAUGUGGUCUAGAUCGUGCUUAAAUGACGUGAUGGUUUGUACAUAACCAGUACCGAACAUAUAUGUCAAGUCAAUUGGAGACAUGACAUCUAAAGUUCGACUCCCUAUCAUCCUUUUCCGUUUCACGGAUCCUUACGUCUAACCUUUUUGUCGUUUCAGAAAACACCCGUUAACAACAAAAAUUUAGACUAGCUCCUCUACACUUUUGCAGUCUAUAACGCUCUUUAACAAUCAUUACCUUAUCAACCAAGUAGAAUUCCCUUUAACAUGCGGUGAUGUACCGAGGAGCUAGAGACUACAUGGUCACUUCUUACCUUGUUAUUAGAAUGUCGAGUGAUCUUGUUAUUAGAAUGUCGGGCAGAAGUGUUUAAAA